CACGCCCUAAACGAUGCGAACUAGGUGUUGGGGAAGGAGACUUUCUUAGUACCGCAGCUAACGCGUGAAGUUCGCCGCCUGGGGAGUACGGUCGCAAGAUUAAAACUCAAAGGAAUUGACGGGGACCCGCACAAGCGGUGGAUGAUGUGGUUUAAUUCGAUGCAACGCGAAAAACCUUACCCACCUUUGACAUGUACGGAAUCCUUUAGAGAUAGAGGAGUGCUCGAAAGAGAGCCGUAACACAGGUGC
RNAcentral lists this ribosomal RNA (249 nucleotides) under uncultured bacterium. RNAcentral's name for it is "partial 16S ribosomal RNA". It matches the Rfam family "Bacterial small subunit ribosomal RNA", at positions 796 to 1041 of the family's 1533-position model. The record is from RNAcentral.